RNAcentral lists this ribosomal RNA (497 nucleotides) under uncultured bacterium. Its description in RNAcentral is "partial 16S ribosomal RNA". It matches the Rfam family "Bacterial small subunit ribosomal RNA", at positions 28 to 507 of the family's 1533-position model. The record is from RNAcentral.
GAUGAACGCUGGCGGCGUGCCUAAUACAUGCAAGUCGAGCGAACAGACGAGGAGCUUGCUCCUUUGACGUUAGCGGCGGACGGGUGAGUAACACGUGGGUAACCUACCUAUAAGACCGGGAUAACUUCGGGAAACCGGAGCUAAUACCGGAUAAUAUUUCGAACCGCAUGGUUCGAUAGUGAAAGAUGGCUUUGCUAUCACUUAUAGAUGGACCUGCGCCGUAUUAGCUAGUUGGUAAGGUAACGGCUUACCAAGGCAACGAUACGUAGCCGACCUGAGAGGGUGAUCGGCCACACUGGAACUGAGACACGGUCCAGACUCCUACGGGAGGCAGCAGUAGGGAAUCUUCCGCAAUGGGCGAAAGCCUGACGGAGCAACGCCGCGUGAGUGAUGAAGGUCUUCGGAUCGUAAAACUCUGUUAUUAGGGAAGAACAAACGUGUAAGUAACUGUGCACGUCUUGACGGUACCUAAUCAGAAAGCCACGGCUAACUACGUG